UCAUCAAACCAAGACCUAUGUAAUGAGUUCAUACGGGCUCGAAACUCAAACGUUUUCUUUGAUUUCCAUUCAAUGGCGAGAAGCCGAAAGAUAACCAUGGGGAACGCCAUAUCAUUUAUUUUGAGAGUGAAGGAAAGAUUUCGAGGAAACAGAGAAAAGUAUGAACGUUUCCUUCAAACUGUCAAAGAUUUCAGGAACCAAAGAAUUGAUGUUAUGGAACUCUGUGCAACAGUAGCGAACUUGUUUCAAGGCCACCCAGAUCUUAUUUGGGAAUUCCUUAGUUUCCUGCCCACCAAGUAAUCACUUGAGAUCAUUCUUGAAACUUGGACCUCAAUGUUGUAAUUUUAGGGACGAAGGGAAAAUUAUUAUUGUAAUAUUUUAAUCUCUCAACAACCAAUAUUGUGCGUGCGAUCUUCUUCUUUCUGCAAAUUCCUUUUUCGCUCUGCAACUUAUGGCGUUUUCCACACUGCCCGUCUUCUUCUUCUCCGUUUUCGUCUUCAAAAUCAUCCCAAUUUCUUGUUCCUUACCCUUCACUGUACUCCACGAUGUUUGCAACAAGAUGAUAUAGAUCUCCAGCUGGUCUUUGCCUCAAUGGGAUUCCGACGUCUAUGUUGAUUUGCAUCUAGUUCAAUAUUAUCGCUACAGGUGAAGAAAACGAAGGAUCUAAAAAAGAACUUCAAUUUUGUUGGUCUCUCCCAGGUUAUAUCGUGGAUAAACGAAGUUACCUGUCUUUCACUUUCUAACAUUUUGAGGAUGAUGCUGUUCUGGUCCGAAUAUUAGCUGGAUGAAUAGUUUGAACUUGUUUACCCCCACAGCAGGUACUUGUUGACCAAUUGAAUAUCCUUGAGAUUUGCACAAGCAUUUGUUGGUUCCAUAGCAUUGGAGAAACAUGCACAUACAUGCACUAAUUAGGCACGGUAACAUUGUAUUAUGUUGGCAAACACAUACGACAUAACAUCUCUGGAUCUCGGUUUCAUUACAAAAUCCUAAAAGCACUAAUGAGGCUGUUAUUUAGAUUAGCUUGUAGCCUUACGAAGGAAUUAUGAAUGUCUUGUUACCAAAGUCCAUUCGAGUUCCUUGAAAAACCUCAAGACUCUCUCUGUCUUUAGCAAACUUUCCUUUUAGCUUUUUCUUUCCUGUGGAACAAGAUUGUAUGAGUAUGGAUUAACUUUCAACUGACCGACUUAUUUUCGUGCAUACGAGGAUUGGAUUGGAUCAAAUUGAGAAGCUUAGAUGAAGAUGGAAGAGUGAAAUUUAUAGAAGUUGCAUGAGGUCAUCUUGGAAUAUCUUAUAGUGACGCAAAAAAGUACAUUAUUGUGCCUUAUUUGGAGGAGAGGAGCAUCGAUCUUCUCAAUUUGAAAUGUUUCUUUGAGUUGAUCUUAGAGGAGAGAGUCAUUUCAAAGCUGCAAUCAAACACCUUCAACCCAACUCUUCUUUCCAUUUGUAUGUGUUUAAUAUUAUACUUUUAUACAAUUGGUGUCAAAACAAUAUUUUUUUUCAAUCUCUUCUUUUUUUUAAGCUACUCUAUAUUGCUAUUGAGACUCUGGGAUGGAUAUUUUGAAUUUUGGAUUUAUUGUCUAUUUUAAUUUUUCAAAA
Cucumis sativus (cucumber) is the source of this 1596-nucleotide long non-coding RNA. RefSeq lists it as uncharacterized. The transcript has 3 exons. Lineage: Eukaryota; Viridiplantae; Streptophyta; Magnoliopsida; Cucurbitales; Cucurbitaceae. The record is from RefSeq and is a predicted model, not a curated record.